UUACAGUAAUCAGUUGAAUGCCAUGAUCUGU
This 31-nucleotide non-coding RNA is filed under the name Rattus norvegicus (Norway rat). The record is from RNAcentral. Lineage: Eukaryota; Metazoa; Chordata; Mammalia; Rodentia; Muridae.